GCCUGGGUGGCUCAGUCGGUUGAGCGUUAGACUUCCGCUCAGGUCAUGAUCUCAUGGUUCAUGGUUCCAAUCCAUGUUGGGCU
Molecule: transfer RNA, 83 nt
Filed under: Felis catus (domestic cat)
Lineage: Eukaryota; Metazoa; Chordata; Mammalia; Carnivora; Felidae
Rfam family: tRNA
About the family: Transfer RNA (tRNA) molecules are approximately 80 nucleotides in length. Their secondary structure includes four short double-helical elements and three loops (D, anti-codon, and T loops).
Source: Rfam by way of RNAcentral